AAACCGUGGCCCGGCGGCGUAAUGUAAGUGUGCCGUGGAUUUGAGAGGAUUGUGCCGUCGAGUGCUACUACUCCUACACCGAUUUUGUUGGCGGAACCCUCGAACCCUAAGGCUAUCAAUUUCUUCUCUUUCAUUUCAAUGGAAAACAACGCCGCCGGAAGAUUGGGGUUUGGUAGCGAAGCGAGCAGUGAAGACAAGGGUUUAGACGAGGGAGUGGUUGUUCGUUGUUGUAUUUGAAACAUAUGAAUUUUACAAAUCAGUACCACGGUUUUCAGAGUCAUAUUUGGCCCCCUUAGUUUUGGAUUUUUAACUCUUCCUACGAGUACUUAAAGUACCUGUACUAUAUACCAAACUUUAUUAUUUUCAUUGUUUAAGCAUUGUAUUAAUUACAUUUAAGGAUACCAAAUUAUCAUUUAUAUAUCAUAAUUCAAAUUAAGAAUAUAAUUAUUGAUUCAUUUAUUCUAUGCGUGAUCAUAUAUUCACUUUAUUUCGUUUACUCACCUCUCUCUCCUCCCACCCUACACCCCCAUAAUUUAUCUUCAGUUAAUUCCCCCCCGUGCUACUACUCCUACGCCGAUUUUGUUGGCGGAACCCUCGAACCCUAAGGCUAUCAAUUUCUUCUCUUUCAUUUCUGAAUGCGAAACAACGCCGUCGCCGGAGGAUUGGCGUUUAGCAGUGAAAUGAGCAGUGACGACAAGGGUUU
Molecule: long non-coding RNA, 703 nt
Filed under: Nicotiana benthamiana
Lineage: Eukaryota; Viridiplantae; Streptophyta; Magnoliopsida; Solanales; Solanaceae
Description: long non-coding RNA (NBEN_LNC009855)
Source: RNAcentral